CCCUUAGAUGUCCUGGGCCGCACGCGCGCUACACUGAGUGUCUGAGAUAUGAGGCAUGCCUGGUCCGGCAAGGUCUAGGUAAUCACGAAAAGGCACAUCAUGCUUGGGAUUGAUUAUUGCAAAUUUUAAUCAUGAACGAGGAAUUCCUAGUAAGUGCAAGUCAACAGCUUGCGUUGAUUACGUCCCUGCCCCUUGUACACACCGCCCGUCGCUGCCCGGAACUGAGCCGUUUCGAGAAAGCCGGGGACUGACGGCUUGUGGGUGCGCAAGCGCUUCUUGCCGAUGGAAACCAGUUUAAUCGGUAUGGCUUGAACCGGGCAAAAGUCGUAACA
RNAcentral lists this ribosomal RNA (332 nucleotides) under uncultured eukaryote. RNAcentral describes it as "partial 18S ribosomal RNA". It matches the Rfam family "Eukaryotic small subunit ribosomal RNA", at positions 1470 to 1796 of the family's 1831-position model. The record is from RNAcentral.